Molecule: transfer RNA, 75 nt
Filed under: Candidatus Daviesbacteria bacterium RIFCSPHIGHO2_01_FULL_44_29
Lineage: Bacteria; Candidatus Daviesiibacteriota
Description: tRNA-Cys
Rfam family: tRNA
About the family: Transfer RNA (tRNA) molecules are approximately 80 nucleotides in length. Their secondary structure includes four short double-helical elements and three loops (D, anti-codon, and T loops). Further hydrogen bonds mediate the characteristic L-shaped molecular structure. tRNAs have two regions of fundamental functional importance: the anti-codon, which is responsible for specific mRNA codon recognition, and the 3' end, to which the tRNAs corresponding amino acid is attached (by aminoacyl-tRNA synthetases). tRNAs cope with the degeneracy of the genetic code in two manners: having more than one tRNA (with a specific anti-codon) for a particular amino acid; and 'wobble' base-pairing, i.e. permitting non-standard base-pairing at the 3rd anti-codon position.
Source: RNAcentral
GACCCGGUGGUGAAGUGGAAACACAGGAGUCUGCAAAACUCUUACGCAGGGGUUCGAUUCCCCUCCGGGUCUCAA